GGGUUGUGAGGUUAAGCGACUAAGCGUACACGGUGGAUGCCCUGGCAGUCAGAGGCGAUGAAGGACGUGCUAAUCUGCGAAAAGCGACGGCGAGGUGAUAUGAACCCUUGACCCGUCGAUGUCCGAAUGGGGAAACCCAGUGUGUUUCGACACACUAUCGUUAACUGAAUACAUAGGUUAACGAGGCGAACCGGGGGAACUGAAACAUCUAAGUACCCCGAGGAAAAGAAAUCAACCGAGAUUCCCCCAGUAGCGGCGAGCGAACGGGGAGCAGCCCGGAGUCUGAAUCAGCUUGUGUGUUAGUGGAAGCGUCUGGAAAGUCGCACGGUACAGGGUGACAGUCCCGUACACGAAAGCACACAGGUUGUGAACUCGAAGAGUAGGGCGGGACACGUGGUAUCCUGUCUGAAUAUGGGGGGACCAUCCUCCAAGGCUAAAUACUCCUGACUGACCGAUAGUGAACCAGUACCGUGAGGGAAAGGCGAAAAGAACCCCGGCGAGGGGAGUGAAAAAGAACCUGAAACCGUGUACGUACAAGCAGUGGGAGCACCUUCGUGGUGUGACUGCGUACCUUUUGUAUAAUGGGUCAGCGACUUAUAUUCUGUAGCAAGGUUAACCGUAUAGGGGAGCCGCAGGGAAACCGAGUCUUAACUGGGCGUUAAGUUGCAGGGUAUAGACCCGAAACCCGGUGAUCUAGCCAUGGGCAGGUUGAAGGUUGGGUAACACUAACUGGAGGACCGAACCGACUAAUGUUGAAAAAUUAGCGGAUGACCUGUGGCUGGGGGUGAAAGGCCAAUCAAACCGGGAGAUAGCUGGUUCUCCCCGAAAGCUAUUUAGGUAGCGCCUCGUGAACUCAUCUUCGGGGGUAGAGCACUGUUUCGGCUAGGGGGCCAUCCCGGCUUACCAACCCGAUGCAAACUACGAAUACCGAAGAAUGUUAUCACGGGAGACACACGGCGGGUGCUAACGUCCGUCGUGAAGAGGGAAACAACCCAGACCGCCAGCUAAGGUCCCAAAGUCAUGGUUAAGUGGGAAACGAUGUGGGAAGGCACAGACAGCCAGGAUGUUGGCUUAGAAGCAGCCAUCAUUUAAAGAAAGCGUAAUAGCUCACUGGUCGAGUCGGCCUGCGCGGAAGAUGUAACGGGGCUAAACCAUGCACCGAAGCUGCGGCAGCGACACUAUGUGUUGUUGGGUAGGGGAGCGUUCUGUAAGCCGUUGAAGGUGUGCUGUGAGGCAUGCUGGAGGUAUCAGAAGUGCGAAUGCUGACAUAAGUAACGAUAAAGCGGGUGAAAAGCCCGCUCGCCGGAAGACCAAGGGUUCCUGUCCAACGUUAAUCGGGGCAGGGUGAGUCGACCCCUAAGGCGAGGCCGAAAGGCGUAGUCGAUGGGAAACAGGUUAAUAUUCCUGUACUUGGUGUUACUGCGAAGGGGGGACGGAGAAGGCUAUGUCAGCCGGGCGACGGUUGUCCCGGUUUAAGCGUGUAGGUGUGUGUUCCAGGCAAAUCCGGUUCACUUUAACACUGAGGCGUGAUGACGAGGCACUACGGUGCUGAAGUGAUAAAUGCCCUGCUUCCAGGAAAAGCCUCUAAGCAUCAGGUAACACGAAAUCGUACCCCAAACCGACACAGGUGGUCAGGUAGAGAAUACCAAGGCGCUUGAGAGAACUCGGGUGAAGGAACUAGGCAAAAUGGUGCCGUAACUUCGGGAGAAGGCACGCUGAUAUGUAGGUGAAGUCCCUGCGGACGGAGCUGAAAUCAGUCGAAGAUACCAGCUGGCUGCAACUGUUUAUUAAAAACACAGCACUGUGCAAACACGAAAGUGGACGUAUACGGUGUGACGCCUGCCCGGUGCCGGAAGGUUAAUUGAUGGGGUUAGCGGCAACGCGAAGCUCUUGAUCGAAGCCCCGGUAAACGGCGGCCGUAACUAUAACGGUCCUAAGGUAGCGAAAUUCCUUGUCGGGUAAGUUCCGACCUGCACGAAUGGCGUAAUGAUGGCCAGGCUGUCUCCACCCGAGACUCAGUGAAAUUGAACUCGCUGUGAAGAUGCAGUGUACCCGCGGCAAGACGGAAAGACCCCGUGAACCUUUACUAUAGCUUGACACUGAACACUGGUCCUUGAUGUGUAGGAUAGGUGGGAGGCUUUGAAGCGUGGACGCCAGUCUGCGUGGAGCCGUCCUUGAAAUACCACCCUUUAAUGGCUGGUGUUCUAACGUGGACCCGUGAUCCGGGUUGCGGACAGUGUCUGGUGGGUAGUUUGACUGGGGCGGUCUCCUCCCAAAGAGUAACGGAGGAGCACGAAGGUUAGCUAAUCCUGGUCGGACAUCAGGAGGUUAGUGCAAUGGCAUAAGAUAGCUUGACUGCGAGAGUGACGGCCCGAGCAGGUGCGAAAGCAGGUCAUAGUGAUCCGGUGGUUCUGAAUGGAAGGGCCAUCGCUCAACGGAUAAAAGGUACUCCGGGGAUAACAGGCUGAUACCGCCCAAGAGUUCAUAUCGACGGCGGUGUUUGGCACCUCGAUGUCGGCUCAUCACAUCCUGGGGCUGAAGUAGGUCCCAAGGGUAUGGCUGUUCGCCAUUUAAAGUGGUACGCGAGCUGGGUUUAGAACGUCGUGAGACAGUUCGGUCCCUAUCUGCCGUGGGCGCUGGAGAAUUGAGGGGGGCUGCUCCUAGUACGAGAGGACCGGAGUGGACGCAUCACUGGUGUUCGGGUUGUCAUGCCAAUGGCACUGCCCGGUAGCUAAAUGCGGAAGAGAUAAGUGCUGAAAGCAUCUAAGCACGAAACUUGCCCCGAGAUGAGUUCUCCCUGAGACUAUAAGUCUCCUGAAGGAACGUUGAAGACGACGACGUUGAUAGGCCGGGUGUGUAAGCGCAGCGAUGCGUUGAGCUAACCGGUACUAAUGAACCGUGAGGCUUAACCUUACAACGCCGAAGCUGUU
This 2930-nucleotide ribosomal RNA is filed under the name Enterobacter bugandensis. RNAcentral describes it as "bacterial LSU rRNA". It matches the Rfam family "Bacterial large subunit ribosomal RNA". The record is from RNAcentral. Lineage: Bacteria; Pseudomonadati; Pseudomonadota; Gammaproteobacteria; Enterobacterales; Enterobacteriaceae.